GACGAACGCUGGCAGCGUGCCUAAUACAUGCAAGUAGAACGCUGAAGAGAGGAGCUUGCUCUUCUUGGAUGAGUUGCGAACGGGUGAGUAACGCGUAGGUAACCUGCUUUGUAGCGGGGGAUAACUAUUGGAAACGAUAGCUAAUACCGCAUAACAAUGGAUGACACAUGUCAUUUAUUUGAAAGGGGCAAUUGCUCCACUACAAGAUGGACCUGCGUUGUAUUAGCUAGUAGGUGAGGUAAUGGCUCACCUAGGCGACGAUACAUAGCCGACCUGAGAGGGUGAUCGGCCACACUGGGACUGAGACACGGCCCAGACUCCUACGGGAGGCAGCAGUAGGGAAUCUUCGGCAAUGGGGGCAACCCUGACCGAGCAACGCCGCGUGAGUGAAGAAGGUUUUCGGAUCGUAAAGCUCUGUUGUAAGUCAAGAACGGGUGUGAGAGUGGAAAGUUCACACUGUGACGGUAGCUUACCAGAAAGGGACGGCUAACUACGUG
RNAcentral lists this ribosomal RNA (497 nucleotides) under uncultured bacterium. Its description in RNAcentral is "partial 16S ribosomal RNA". It matches the Rfam family "Bacterial small subunit ribosomal RNA", at positions 28 to 507 of the family's 1533-position model. The record is from RNAcentral.